Long non-coding RNA from Apodemus sylvaticus (European woodmouse), 2939 nucleotides. RefSeq lists it as uncharacterized. The transcript has 2 exons. NCBI's taxonomy places the organism in Eukaryota, Metazoa, Chordata, Mammalia, Rodentia, Muridae. The record is from RefSeq and is a predicted model, not a curated record.
UUUUGUGUAGUACAUAUUUAAGCAAUUUAAAACUGUGGCAGAGGAAGACAGGUGUGACUUUAAGCCUACCACUAGGGUAGUGAGUUUGAGGUUAGCAUGGUCUACAGAGUUCCAGGACAGCAAGGACUAAGUAAACAGACCCUGUCUCAAAUAUAUACGUGUCAGAGGAAAACAAGUCAUUAGAAACAGACCCAGGACCAGAUCUCUAGAGACUGUGCUGUCACUGUAGCUGAGACCCUCUCUCUCUCAGUAGUUCUUUUCCAGCCUAGAAUCACAUGGGUGGAGCAGCUUUCUCUCAGCCUAUGUCCUAGUGCCACACGGGUUCCUCUACAUGCUUUCCAAGGAGCUAUGUUCCUGCAGCACACCUGAGUCUGGUGUGCAGCGGGGACACACGCCCUCACCUAAAUAAAGUCGACCCCUUCAUCUCUACUGCAGCCCGCUCAGGCACAGAUGUCAUCAGUUUCCAUGUUUUCCAGAGCUGUGGACACCAACAGGAAGCUGUGGCGGCAGCUUGUGUAAUUAGCAUGGAAUGUUCUGAGGCAGGCAGAGCACGUGGGGUAGUGACAAGUUCGCAAACAUGCUUUCUGUGGAAACGGCUCUGUUUUUUCCUCUUUCUACCCUUCUCAGGAGACGGAAAUAACAAACCCUGAGAGGAAAGCAGUCAUUCUGCAGGGCUCCACAUGUACAGAGCGGGCCUGCGGCCGAUGCAUGGACUCCAGGGCGGGCCUGCGGCCGAUGCAUGGACUCCGGGGCAUGCUCCCUGUUUGUCAUCACUCAGGCAGCGCAUCCCAGAGGUUGCCUCAGUGCCGUCCAGCUGGGGUCCACACAGUCAGCCCAGGUGCAGUGUGUCUGCCGAGGUGAGACACCGCUGGCACAGAGCCGGGCGAGCACAAGCCCCUCUCCUCAGGCCACCGAGCCAAGCCACGGCCACGGCCACGGCCAGAAGAUGCACCACCCAAUGCCACAGCUGCACUGGAGAUCUUCCUCAGUGUAAAUGCUGCUUUUAGAAAAAGCUGCUUUUAAGUGUACCUUUGGCCACUGCUCUGGCAGUGAAGGCCACACUGCCCCGCCCUCGUCAGUGGGCUUCCGAUGGCCAGGGAUGGAUGGUAUUUACCCUGGACCUCCUGUCUACACAUCAGCGAGUGACCUGCUGGGAAUGGAUGCAGUGGCAGCACACUGUCUUGACACUGUGAUCCAGCCAAGAGGCAGUUGUUUGCUAUUCAUCUGUGUUGCAGGAAAUACUAAAAAUACAAAACAAAAACAAAAAACCCGCCAACUCUCUGCCGGGCCAGAUCACGCUCCCGCGCUCCUGCCGCCAACAACUCUCUCCAGUUAGCCCCCGCAGCAUCUGGCUCAAGUGUCUAGGGAGCUCUAGUUCUUCCUCAGCCAUAAACCCAUGUAGUCCGUGAUCCCACUUUCCAGUAACUAAAUGGACUGCCAACCUGGAGGCUGCAGAUCACAAUACCCAGUAACCUGGAAGAAUCAUGACUCGUAAAGCUUAAUUAACCAAUCAGAUUUAUGUGUCAAUAAAACCACAAUUUACAAGAUGCCACAACAGUGAUUUCAGAGCCAUUUGAUAAUGAUAAAAGCUUUAACCGUGUGAAAUCACAGCUACUUGUGGCUGUUACAACCACGCCGGAUCAGGAUCUUCUUCCUGUCAGCCCACCUCCAUCUUGGCUUCUCCUUACUCUGAGAUUCUCUGUCUCUGCAACUCUCAGUUCCAGCUCCCUUUUCCCUGUCCAAUCACAGACCUCCUCUGAACUAAUGUAACUGACCAGGGAAAAUCCUGCAACACAUCUGUCCUGACAUCACAGUGAUGCCUCGCCACGCUCCCCACUUCAGAAGACCCGCUCCCAGGCCAGGAGAAGCUGGGCCGUCUGGCCACGCCCUGUCCACCUCAGGCUCCUCUGCUCCAUCCACACUGAAGCUCCUGAUGACUCUGCAUACGCCAUUCCCCCCAGGGUCUUAGCUGCUGUGCCCUCCUCCCUCCCCAUCCACACAACCACCUUUUAACCAAACCACAGCCCAAAGACCAAUUCCUUUGUGAGGUCUGCAAGGACCCCCUAUGCCACUCUGACCCAUGAGUUAUUAGACCACUGGGAACAGAGAUGGUGUCUUUCCAUACCUGAAUCCUUGCUGCCUAGCCCAGUGCCUGGCACAAGGCAGGGACCCAGACCACACUCACUGAAGUGAAGUAGUCCAGACAGAUAUACUUCCACCAGCAAACAGCAAGGGCUGAACUUGACUUUCCUGAGGAGGGUCUCUAUUGUGUGCACACAGCCAGGACUGCUGCCUGCAUCUGGCAACAGCUGGCACAAUGCCAUGAGCACCCACAACACAGUGCACGGCCUCGAGGCUGUGACUAGGAAGCAGCAUGCUAUCUUCAGAGUCCGUUGGGCCAUUUCCAGAGCCACCCAGGCCUGGCCACACACCGCCACACUGUACAUCCUCUGCCUAAUCAAUUCACAAUGCAGAAAUAACAAAGGGCCGCAGAGCCUCCAUUAACCUCCAGGUCACGAGGGGAAUAGUGAUGAGCGAACGCCUCAGAGGGCUGAGCAGAGCCCAGGGCUUUCUCCUCCUUUUCUUCCUUCCUUUCUUUCUUUUUUCUUUCAAGAAAUGUAUACAAUUUCUAUGUGCUUUAGGUAAAUAUUUAAAAACAUUAAUUAGUCCCAGAGACACUUUGUAUACUAUAGAUUUCAGUGUAAUCUGAGUAAAGUAUGGUGGUUAGAAAUGAAUCUCUGAUUAUCAUGUUUCCUGAAUAGAAAUGAGAACAUCUGGCCCUCUACUAAGAUAAACACACGAAAUUGGAAUACAUCAGAAACUAUGUCCUGCAUGUCUUAUUUUUUUCAACAGUUAGCAAAGAAUUGAUUUUAAAUUGUAUGUGUUUAAUGUCUACAGUGUGAUGACUUAUAUAUACGUAAAUGGUUAUCAAAGUUAAA